CGGCCGGGCGGCGGGGGAGGAGGAGGAGGAAGAGGAGGACGACCAACAAGAUGGCCCCUGCUGCAGGAGCAGCCUCAGCAGCAGGUGGGAGGCCGGAGGCGGCGCUGGCGGUGGCGGCGGCGGCCGUGGCCCGGCGGCCUGGGACAGAGUCAGAGUCGACGGUGGCAGCGGCGGCGGCGGCGGCUGCCGCGGCGGUGGCGACGGCCGCGGGGACUCGGAGCUGAGAGGAGCUGCUGCUCGGACCAGCGCGGUUAUAUUUCACACUAUGUGCUGACUGUAUUUACAGAAGAUACUUAAAAAAAAAAGAUAAACUUUUUUCAAAGAUUUUGAUUCCAGUGGAAUCUUUGCUUUAGAUUUUGUGUGUGUGUAUGUGUGAGUGAAUUGUAACUCCAGAAACAAUGCCUGUACAAGCUCCACAGUGGACGGAUUUCCUCUCCUGCCCAAUUUGCACUCAGACUUUCGACGAAACAAUUAGAAAGCCCAUCAGUUUGGGUUGUGGCCAUACUGUCUGCAAGAUGUGCCUGAACAAACUCCACCGAAAGGCUUGCCCAUUUGACCAGACCACUAUCAAUACAGACAUUGAACUCCUUCCAGUGAACUCAGCAUUGCUGCAGCUAGUGGGUGCCCAGGUUCCUGAGCAGCAGCCCAUUACUUUGUGUAGUGGAGUUGAAGAUACAAAGCAUUAUGAGGAAGCCAAGAAAUGUGUAGAAGAAUUAGCACUGUACCUGAAACCACUCAGCAGUGCUAGAGGAGUGGGUCUGAAUAGCACUACUCAGAGUGUUCUGAGUCGCCCAAUGCAGAGGAAGCUGGUGACUCUGGUCCACUGCCAACUAGUGGAAGAAGAAGGCAGGAUUCGUGCCAUGAGGGCAGCUCGAUCUUUAGGUGAACGAACAGUUACAGAGCUCAUUCUCCAGCACCAGAAUCCUCAGCAGCUCUCUUCCAAUCUUUGGGCAGCUGUCAGAGCUAGAGGCUGCCAGUUCCUCGGACCAGCAAUGCAGGAGGAAGCUCUAAAGCUGGUUCUCCUGGCUUUAGAAGAUGGUUCUGCUUUGUCAAGAAAAGUAUUGGUUCUCUUUGUGGUGCAAAGGUUGGAGCCACGGUUUCCUCAAGCCUCUAAAACUAGCAUUGGGCAUGUUGUCCAGCUUCUUUAUAGAGCCUCCUGCUUCAAGGUCACCAAACGUGAUGAAGACUCUUCUUUGAUGCAGCUGAAAGAAGAAUUUAGAACCUAUGAAGCUUUGCGGCGAGAACAUGACUCCCAGAUAGUGCAGAUUGCUAUGGAAGCAGGCUUACGAAUUGCACCAGACCAGUGGUCCUCUUUGCUAUAUGGGGACCAAUCUCACAAAUCUCAUAUGCAGUCCAUUAUUGACAAGUUGCAGACCCCAGCCUCUUUUGCACAAAGUGUUCAGGAACUAACAAUUGCUCUCCAGCGGACUGGAGAUCCAGCGAACUUGAAUCGACUAAGACCCCAUUUGGAGCUAUUAGCAAACAUUGACCCUAGUCCAGAUGCUCCUCCUCCUACUUGGGAACAGCUAGAAAAUGGGCUGGUUGCUGUGCGUACAGUGGUACACGGGUUGGUUGAUUAUAUCCAGAAUCACAGCAAAAAAGGAGCAGAUCAACAGCAGCCUCCACAGCAUAGCAAAUAUAAAACAUACAUGUGUCGAGACAUGAAGCAGAGAGGAGGAUGCCCUCGUGGGGCCAGCUGUACAUUUGCACAUUCACAGGAGGAACUGGAAAAAUUUCGUAAAAUGAACAAACGCCUGGUUCCCAGAAGACCCCUGAGUGCCUCUUUGGGUCAGCUUAAUGAGGUGGGCCUGCCUUCAACAGCUAUCCUUCCGGAUGAAGGUGCAGUGGAUCUACCUAGCAGAAAAACCCCUGCUCUGCCAAAUGGAAUUGUAUCAGCAGGGAACACAGUAACGCAGCUGAUUCCACGAGGGACAGACCCCAGCUACGAUUCUAGUCUGAAACCAGGAAAGAUAGAUCACCUGAGCAGUAGUGCCCCUGGAUCCCCUCCUGACCUGCUAGAAUCUGUCCCUAAGAGUAUUUCUGCCUUGCCUGUUAAUCCACAUCCUGUACCUCCAAGAGGGCCGACAGACCUGCCCCCUAUGCCUGUCACCAAACCACUUCAGAUGGUACCGCGAGGCUCUCAGUUAUACCCAGCACAACAGGGAGAUGUUUAUUACCAGGAUCCUCGAGGAGCUGCCCCACCAUUUGAACCAGCACCUUAUCAGCAGGGCAUGUACUAUCCUCCACCACCACAAUGUGUUUCCCGCUUUGUCCGACCUCCACCAUCUGCUGCUGAACCUGGUCCUCCCUACUUGGAUCAUUAUCCACCGUACCUCCAAGAUCGUGUAGUAAACUCCCAGUAUGGCACACAGCCGCAGCAGUACCCACCUAUGUACCCACCACACUAUGAUGGCCGUCGAGUAUACCCUGCUCAGUCCUAUACAAGAGAGGAGAUUUUCCGAGAAAGUCCUAUACCCAUUGAGAUUCCACCUGCAGCAGUACCAUCCUAUGUACCAGAAUCCAGAGAAAGAUACCAACAGAUGGAGGGUUACUAUCCAGUGGCUCCCCACCCAGCUCAGAUCAGACCUUCAUACAACAGAGAGCCUCCUUACGGCCGGCUUCCUCCUCCUCCCCAGCCCCAUCCUAGUCUAGAUGAGCUGCAUCGAAGACGAAAGGAAAUAAUGGCACAACUAGAGGAAAGGAAGGUUAUCUCUCCACCUCCUUUUGCACCUUCACCAACAUUGCCUCCUGCCUUCCAUCAAGAGGAAUUUUUGGAUGAAGACUUGAAGGUAGCUGGGAAAUACAAAGGAAAUGAUUAUAGCCAGUACUCACCCUGGUCAUGUGACACCAUCGGCUCCUACAUUGGAACCAAAGAUGCAAAACCCAAAGACGUUGUGGCAGCAGGGAGUGUGGAAAUGAUGAAUGUGGAGAGUAAAGGAAUGAGAGACCAACGAUUGGACCUUCAGAGAAGAGCGGCAGAAACCAGUGACGAUGAUCUCAUCCCAUUUGGAGACCGACCAACAGUAUCUCGGUUUGGUGCAAUUUCUCGAACUUCCAAAACAAUAUAUCAGGGUGCAGGCCCAAUGCAGGCUAUGGCACCUCAAGGAGCUUCCACAAAAUCUAUUAACAUUUCAGAUUAUGGUCCGUAUGGAACGCAUGGUGGCUGGGGAGGUUCUCCUUAUUCACCUCAUCAAAACAUACCUUCUCAGGGACACUUCAGUGAGAGGGAGAGAAUAUCUAUGUCAGAAGUGGCCAGUCAUGGAAAACCCCUUCCAUCUGCUGAGAGGGAACAGCUACGACUAGAAUUGCAGCAACUAAACCAUCAAAUUAGCCAACAGACCCAGCUACGGGGACUAGAGGCUGUUAGUAACAGGCUGGUGUUGCAGAGGGAGGCGAACACCUUGGCAGGCCAGUCACAGCCCCCGCCACCACCUCCAAAAUGGCCUGGAAUGAUCUCAAGUGAGCAGUUGAGCUUGGAACUGCACCAGGUGGAAAGAGAAAUUGGGAAGAGAACCCGGGAACUGAGUAUGGAGAACCAGUGUUCUCUGGACAUGAAAAGUAAAUUGAAUACAAGUAAGCAAGCAGAAAAUGGACAGCCAGAACCACAAAGUAAGGUUCCAGCUGAGGACCUUACAUUGACAUUCAGUGAUGUGCCGAAUGGAUCAGCCUUGACACAAGAGAAUAUGAGCCUCCUGUCAAACAAGACCAGCUCUCUGAACCUGGCAGAGGACCCUGAGGGCGGAGGGGACAGCAGUGACUCCCAGAGAGCAGGAGUGACAUCCAGUUCUGCGCCCUGAAACAUGAGGAGGAGUCCUACUUUUAUCUUCUGCUCCUAAGCAGUGUGUGGGGCAUAGGGUAGGGGUAGGAGAAUAGAGAACUUCUAAACUUUACAUUUCUCUGAGAGUGGUCAGAGAAAUCCAGGAAAAGCACCGGAGGCAAUGUGCACAAACACCACUACUAAAAAUAAACCCUGCACAUAGUUCACAUUAAUGCAUUUUUUAAUUUAAAAAAAAAGAAAAAGAAAAAGAAAAUUAGCAGUAUCUGCAAGCAAUUCAGAUUAAAUUUGUUUUUGUUCUGUGAAUGAACUUUAUUUUAAUAACUUUGGACGCCUUGGAUCCAGGGCUUUAAAAAAAAGAAGAUAUUAUAUAUACACUCUGUUUGAUUAAUUGUAUGAUCUUAAUGAAGUAGGUUUUUCUUGUAUUUUGGUAUUAUUACAUACCCAGUGUAUAAUUCCUUACCCCCAAUCCUUUCCAACUCUCACAACCCCAUAAAUUACAACAGACAAAAAGCACCAGCCUUUCUGAGAAUUCUGUGGUGCUUGAGAAAUAGACAGUAAUAGACUAGUUAUUAGAAAAUGUGCAGCAGACCAACUUUCUAAGAGCUGUUAUUUGGAAAGCCAUAAUUUGCUUUCUCUUUCUGGGUGACUAGCUUCAUGUGAGGUAGAUUUUUCAUAUGGCAUUAAAACUUUCUGUAGUUCAGGAGGGCUUUAUUUCUUGUUUUUGUGUUUAUUUCAGCUUUUCAGAGAGAUAAUUGCCAGUUAAUUUUUGAAGUCCUCAUUCCCAUAUUAUGCACUCCUUUCAUUCUCUUAAUGUAAUCAGAAUUCUGAGUCAAUUUUACAUUGCUUGAUUAGAUUUAAUGGAGAUUAUUUUAAGGAUAAACCAUAAUUUAUUAGCACUGGAAAUACAUACUCGUUUAUUACCUAUAUUGAGCUGAUGGUUGGAAAUUUAGAGCUGUGCUUUUCCAAAUUGAACUCCUGCUGAAAUCAUAAAAAACCAGGGCAAUCAACCAUGUUUUCAAACUGCAAUACUUGAUUUGAACUUUAAAUGAGCAGAGCCACAUUAUUUCAAUGGAUAUUUUUGUUUUACUCUCAAAAACCAGAAGUAUAAAAUUCCUGUGUACUGGAGCUCUUGGCUUUCAAAGAGAUUUGACAAAUUUGAACUGCCUGAAUCUUAAGAAUAGUUCGUGAAUUGAUCACUUGUUGCUUUUUGGAAUCAUUAGCACAAGUAGGCAGUAAGUACGUCUUUGCUUUACAAUAUUGAAAAGAUGCUUCAUGAAAAUGUGGAAAAGAAUAAGGAAGAAUUUUUUUAUUUAGUUCUGCUGCACAUAUUCUGAUGCCAUGUGUCUAUACUGAACUAAGACCAUAUAAACAUGUUUAGUGGGGAUUAUUUAAUAUAGUCACCCACCCUAUCCCUGUGUUUGCCUGAUUUUCUAAAAAUUUCCCUUUCUGUAUUAUACUACUAAAACCGAAAGCACUGGUUAUGUAAUAAGUUACUGCAUUGCUUUGGUUGGGUAAAAGCAAGAGUUUGUAUUUUUCUUGUUUCUUAUUUCCUUAACCCUUAACUCCUGCUGAGGUCAUGACAGCCUCAGUCUAAGCUCUGUGUCCAUCAUACUGUUAAAUGAAACAAAUGAGGGGUGAGGGUGGGGGGAGGGUAAUACAGUCCUGCCAUUGCCUACCAGUAGGAGAGUCCAAACAGAACACUCUUUUGAGUAGCAAUUAUUUAAUUUGCCCAGUCAAGGCACCGUGUUUAUAUACUAUUUCACAUUGAAUUUGAUUAUGCCCUACAGACCUGGCUGGUCAAGGAUUUGAUAUACACAUAUUGGCUUGGGAUUCGAGCUUUCUUUUUUAUUUAAAUAAAAAUUUAUAUAUAUAUUAUAUAUAUACAUAUAUACAUAGCUAUAUCUGUAUAUAUAUUGGGUAUGUUUUAUGGAUUUUUUCGCAUGAGCGCAGCUGUUGCGAUAAAAUGACUGAUUGGGAGGUAGAAGCACUGAAUGAAGAUGAGGUAUUUUAUCAGUUGAUAUUCAUAUUUUCCUUUAAUUUUUUAAUACACUUGCUUUUUUGCCUUUUGGUUUUGUUUUCCUUAAAACCCUCAUAUAUUUACUCUUUAAGUACUUAUUGUUUUUCUUUUGGGAGAAGGAAAGAAACUCUUAUGUCUGACAGAGUCCUGAGAUUUUUCAUUUCUCUCUAUAACCAUAAAAGACAACAUUCUUGGCUUCUAACCAAGGCAGAUUUGGGCAGAUCUUAUUUCUCCUUUGGACAUGUUAAAUAAUUCCUAAAUUUUAGGAGUGGUUGGUUCGAUUUGGAACUCAAAAUGAUUCUGGUAUUGAAAAGGAAUUUAUGGGUAUUGGUUUUGUUGAAAUUCGGAGUGAAAGUAAAAUUCCAUUUUGGCUAUCUGUUGAAAUCCGUAAUAACUCAGCUUGUGUUGUUCUUGUUUAUUUCCUUCAAAUAUACUCAUUCUUUCUUUCCCCAUUUUGACUUUGUAAACUAGGCAGAAACAGGGAUUAAUUUGUACAGUAUUCCUAUUCUGAAUAAAGCCAGAGAAGCCACUAUUUUGAACUGAUUUAAAAUAGUCUCUUUCUCAAGGUAUUUUCAUGGAGUGAGAAUGGGGGGAUCUCUUAAAUUGUAGCCUUAAUCCUAGCUAUACUUCUAAAAGGCCCUGUACUCUGUCGAGGAAAUCUGGGUGGGUAGAACAGCAAGAGAAAGGUAUACUGUCCCAUUGUACCUGUAACUUACCUAUUUUAAAUUGGUUAUUCUGCCUUACCUCAUGGAAAUUCUUACAACUUCCCCAGUGCUCACAGGCAGUUUUAGGAAUCCAAUAAAACUCCACAUUUUUUUUUUCCUCUUUCUUUUCAUUUUCUCUGUGAUAUACCUUGUGAUAUGGUGAGCCUGUAAGGGUAAAUGACCUGUUUAAGAAAAACUGCUUGACUUUUUAACUGCUUUUUUUGUUAAUAUCUGUAAAAGAUAAUUGAUUUUUCUGGCUUUGUAAAUUUAUUCCUUUAGAGACAGUUAAAAGAUGAAACCAGGCAGAUAGGAAGCACAGUUUUUAUGCUUAUGCAAGUGUUAAUUUCUUCUGAAGAUGACUGUUUGCUUUUCACUGAAUUAAAAGGCAAGACUCAGACGUCUCAGAUGAAAAUGAACAAUUCUGAGAAGGGUUAAGGCAGGAGUCAUAGGCAUUGUGUUCAGUGUGGUUUGGAUAACACCACCAGAAUUUUAUUACAGCUAGGAAUAUAAAGUCUUUGGCUCUCUGACUUUUUCUUUCUUCAUUGGGUCUCUGGAAAAGGGUAGAACAACUGAGAAUAAGAUAUCUAGACUCAACUUUCUGACUUAAAUGUAGUUCCUUGCCUUACUUAUAGAUAUUGUCAUAAAAUAAGUUCAGUAGUUGCCAUGUCUUGGGUAAUUUACAGAUGCUGAAAUGACCAAAGAUCCAUUCCUUGUUACUUUUCUAACCAAAAGAGAAGUUAGUUAUAACAUAGGUUUCUAGUAGUAUUCAAAUAAUAAGACUAUUUCUAAAGCCAGCUACAAAAUAUUCAGCUACUCAGGAUGUAUAAAAAUUUAUUUCAUACAGCAUUAACGUGGCUGAUUCCCUUCUCCCAUUUUAUUUCCCGUCCCUUCUCCUAGUCUUUCCCGUAUUUUUUUUUUUUUUUUUUUUUGCCUGAAAGAUAUAAAAUUGGCAUGAUUCUCAUUUGCUACCCUGAAUAUGUAACUCCAUCAGACUUUCCAUAGGUCUUCAGGGUUGGAGCUCAAAGUCUGUUUUUGUUUUUUUCCUCUGGCCCAUCUCUAUCUUGCAAAUUCCCCUUGAUUUACCCACUGCCCUCCCCAAUCUGCAACAGUGACAGUUUGCUGCCUCAAAACAGAGCAUUCAAAUGAAUUCGCUUAGCCAAUAACUUCUGUGAAGUUGCCUUUUCUAAUGGUGUUAUUACUCAGUGAUGCACAAAUGUGGUAUUUGCCCUACUGGUAGGCAAACAAAGGUCUGGUUAGGAAUGGUAACCUGCUGUUUUCUUUAAAGGAGAGCCAAAGACUUGUGCUUUACUCUGUUUUGGUUUGGGAGGAAAUAGUAGCCAUUUUGAUUGUGAAACCUCUUGGUAUUUGUGAGCUGAUUAUACUGUGUAGGGAGAUGUAUCUAAAGUUAACUGUUAAAGUUAGCUGGCCGUAUAAAAUGUAAAAGUAAUGAAAAUUCACCAGUUUUUCUAAACCAUGAAUGUCAUCUUUCACAAUUCUGUGUGUAAGCAGUUCCUACCCCUUCUUUUACUGAGAUUAUCUUGUCAUGAUAGCAUGUUGUAUUUUUGUUAUUUUACUUGUGCCUCAAGGACAGUCUACUGUCACUACGGUCAAGUCUUGGGACUGAGUAAAAUAAUUCAUGGACAUGUGAUUGGUGAGAAUUAACUAUAGUCAGUACAUGUUAGAUUAUAUUCAGAUUCAGAGAAAAAUAGAUUCUUUUCACUAAAGAGUACUCAGUUGCUAUUGCAUAUAUACAAAUGGUGAUAGAUGGAGAUCUAACCAUCUUUUUUCUACUUUUAUUUUUUUGCUCAUUUUAAAGAAUUGAGUAAAGAUUUCAUAUAUAAAAUCUAUCUGUAAAAAGCACUUGUAAUGUUUUAUACAUCAUUAAGAGGAAGGACCUAGUUACUUUCUAGGGGAAAUUAAUGACCUGUCUAGAAUUAACUGCAGUGUUUACUUAGAUUUUUACCCUAAAAGAGUCCAAUUGUGUUUAUUUCUUAUUGGUGAUACAUGGUUAUAGUUUGCAAAGUGAUCUCUUCCCUGAAAACUCUGCCUAUCCUUUUAGAUAAAAAUUAGAGUUACUAAACUAAAACAGAUUUUACAUUCAACAUUAGGGACUGAACAAACAAGCAGUCUGCUUCUGUCAUCAUUUUACCUGACUACCUGUUUUGCUGGCCCACAAUCAUACCAUUCUGCCUUGGACAACUAUGAUAUUUGUAUUUAUUUGUUGCUUCAGCUCAGCUUUAUGAAGUUUUCCUGCUGAAAUUACUUAUUGGGAAUCAUAGGUGGAUUGCAGUUAAUAUUUUUUUAAAUUCUUCAACUUUGUGAGCCACUUGGAAAAAGAAAGCUGUUUUUGUCAAAAGAGACUAUUAAUUGUAGUAAAUGCUAGCUUACGAUUUGGUCCUUAAGAUUUUAUUUCUUUGACUGAUAAAGGUGUUUUCACCUAUAUUAGAUUGUAACUGAUAAGUAACACUAGCUAGAAUGUUAAUGAAGAAUAGGAAACUGCCACCACCAAAAAGAAGUAACACCCUUUAAUAAUAAAUAUGUUCCCAAUAGGUGGAUUGUCAAUACUGCACUGAACAAAGUGGGUAAAGAGCCCUUUGAAAUCCUCUUGUGAUAAAGGGACUAACCUCACCACUGGAAUCCUUAUUUUUCAGAAUUUUCAGCCAAACACUGAACUUCCCCUAAACUUUAUUCCUGAGCAGAACAUCCCUAGAGUAAUAGCCUUUAUUUUUAAAAUAAGGCACAAUAACCCGAGAGAGAGAACUUAAAAUAAGCCUCACAACAAUAUUGUGUCCAAAAAUGUGUAUUUAAGAAAAUAAAAUCCUGUGGAGUUUGUUAUCCUAAUGUAUGCUAUAUACUAAAUAAGGUGACUUAUUUUCUUGUAUUGAAGUCUCAUUAUUUCUAGCUGGGUUUGUGUGUGUGUGUGUGUGUGUGUGUUUCAUUUUGUUUUUAAUUUAAACUCUUAAGUAGACAGAGCUCACAAGUCUUUGGCAUCCAUUCUAGGUUGUACAGUCAGAGUCAUCUUAUAACUGGAAACUGUCAGGUGGCCCCCUGCCCCAACUCCAGCUGGUGUAUGAAAGGGUCAAGAAAAGAAUGGAAACAAACUAUUGGGUGGAUAACUGGUAGCUUUUUUUUUUUUAGCCUGAUUUUUUAAAAUCACCAUUUAUUAGUGUAAUCUCUCUCUACUGAUUGGCUGCCAUUCUCACAGUAAUAUCUGAACCACCCUGUAAAAUAUUCCUCUGAUUUCAAGGCAUUUAAAGCUUUUACUUACCAUGUUUACAUUCUCUGUUCAACUAAAAUACUGUUCUGAGAGCAACUUUUUCCAGAUGUAUUGUUGCCUAAAUUUCAUUUAUUCUCCCUUUCAUCCUUUCUCUUCUUCCCAUCUUCUGGGAAUGAGAGGAACUUGGAAAAACCAAAAAAAAAAGAGGUUUUUUUUUUUUCUCUUUAAUUUCAUUCAUUGAUCCACAGGCUUCAUUAUCUUACUUUAUGAUGAAUCUGUGACUUUUUAGAACAACAGAAAUGGAAAAAGUGAAUUAAGAUAACAAAACCUUUCACCCACGUAAACAUUUUCCAGUUGUGAGAUUCCUCUUGUGUGUGGUCUCUUCCUCUUGUUACUUACCAUUCUUACCCCUUUUCCCUGACUAUGGUCAAUUUGGUCUUUAGGCUCAUACCAGUCUCCCCGAGACAUUCUGCAGUCAUUAUCACCUUUUUGGGUGGAUUUUAUUUUUUGUUUUUUGUUUUUUAAAUAACUUUUUAACAUUGAUGCAUAUUUGCUUGGGAUAGAGCUUGUGUAAUUUACCAAUCGUAUUGAUUGUACGUGAUUGUGCCCUGCGGAGGUAUAUUUAACAAGACAAAAAUAAUCUGGGUUAAUACAGGAGCCCAUGAGAUUUGAGUCAGGUUAUAAAUGACUUCAUGAAAUCAUUUACAGUUUGAAUAGUGAGAAUUUAUAUCUCCUGUUCUUAAAUUAGUGCUAGACAGAUACCAUUUUUUAAAAGUUUUCUUGCAUUCCUAUUUUUUUCCCUUGCCUUAGCUCCCUCUUCUUUCUUACCUGCCUCCACCCACCUGUUCAGAAGUAGAAAUAUUGAGCCUUAAAGGGAUAGCUGAUUUUUAAAUUGCUGAAGUUUGUGAAAUUUUACUUUUUCCAAGUGUUUCCAGCUUUUCUUUAAAAAGUGAAGACAAUGAGUUGGAAUUUCACAAGCUGUGAAAUUAGCACCUGGCGAACUGUGAAAUCUUAUUUGAAGACUUUAUCUCCCGGAAGUUCUUUUGGAAUAGGAAAAAGGAACCCUGUUUUUGAAAUACACCAUUUUCCUCUCUUUCUAAAAAUCUGUAUAUUUUCAGUUCUUAAACAGCCUUGAAAAAAGAGAAGUGGGAAAAUAAUAGUAGUAGAAAGAUGUUUAGGACAGCAAAAUGCUGGGUCUGAAUAAGUACAUAUUCUACUUGUUACAGGGUUUUGAGAGGAUGAGGGCCAUCUUUUUCAAUUUGUGUUAUCUUUGUGCAUGUUGUUUAUAUCAGAAAUGCCACAUUUUGUUAAAAUGCUAUUCCUUUCUUUAUUAUCUUGGAAACUGACUCAGCCUCAUGUUGCUCCAAAUUAGCGUUUAAGACUCCCACAAGUUGCAGAUAAAAGGACUAUUUUAACAAGUAGAAGGAGGUGAUUUGCCUUUUGGUUUGUAAAUACAUGAAAGUGUCUACAAGGUCUUUAUCUGCUUUCUGUCAGCAUUUAUAUUAAAUGAUAAAUUAAUGAGAAACGUGUAGUCUUUCUUUUGUAAAUGAGCAUGUGCCAUCUUACUGUAACCUUGGGAUUGUUUUCUUACAGCUUUUUUUAAUUGAGUUUGUUUUUUAGGUGAAAAAUAGAGAAGUAGCUAAUGUAUGCAAACACCUACUUGUGCCGAUUUUAUAGAUAUCACAGGAAUUUGUCCAACACCACAGCUCAGAAUCCUUCAUUUGUUAUACAGUGACUGCACGUGAGGAGUAAAGUUCCAUGGACCAGACCCACCUAUCUGCCCUUCCCCUAUACACACUUUAGUCAGAUGACCAAUAGCUUUGAUUGGGAUUUUAUGUCUGCUAUGAAGCAUGGAGCUCCUUGAGGACAAAGUCAUCUUUACAUCCUCAGGCCCAGCACCAACCAUACCUGAUGUUCACCAGACCCUUGUGCAGGGUCCACUCAUCUGCCUUCCUUCAAGGACCUUCUUUACAAUGCACAAGUCUCACAACUCCUACAAGCUGGAACAAUAGGUCUGAACACCAUAUUCCUACCUCAGGGUCUUUGUAUCUCCUGUUUCUUCCAUGUGAAAAGCUCUUCCCAAAGAUAUUUGACUCCUCCCUCAUUUUAUUCUGGUCCCUUAAUGUCAGUUUAUUACGGAGGCCUUUCCUACCUGCUAUUUUACAGCGGUAAUCUCCCUACCUCCUCCCAUCACUUUCUAGUCCCUUGCCCUGUUGUACUUUCCUCUGUAACCCUUAGUAACACCUGACUGACAUAUUAUAGAUUUAUUUUUUAUAUGUUGAUGUUUAUAUGUUAUUGCUGCAUGUCUUCCUGACUGGAGCUCCCAGCCCCUAGAACAGUGCCUGCUGACUCAGGUAGUGCUCCUGUGUUUGCUGAACACGAGUGGUUGAACAGAAGACUUUCCAACUGUCUUUUUUUUUUUUUUCAGUUGCGGCUCAUGGGCUCCUUAGUUGUGGCAUGUGGGCUCCUUAGUUGUGGCAUGCAAACUCUUAGUUACAGCAUGCUUGUGGGAUCUAGUUCCCUGACCAGGGAUCAAACCCGCACCCCCUGCAUUAGGAGCGUGUAGUCUUAUCUACUCCACCACCGGAUGAAGAAGAAUGUGAAGGACUAUGAGUAAGAAAGGUGGGCCUUCUUUCUCCGGACCGGACUGAACUUUAAAACUUCUCUACUAAUUAACCAAGACUGGGCUCUACACUUUGCUUAACCCUGGGAGCUGGUCAUCAGCCUUUGACCUCAGUCCUCCCCUCCUCACCAGCUCCAUCCCCC
Hippopotamus amphibius kiboko is the source of this 12482-nucleotide RNA transcript. It is a transcript of the gene named ring finger and CCCH-type domains 1, with no coding region annotated. The transcript has 23 exons. The record is from RefSeq and is a predicted model, not a curated record. Lineage: Eukaryota; Metazoa; Chordata; Mammalia; Artiodactyla; Hippopotamidae.